GCGGGUAUGGCGGAAUUGGCAGACGCACAAGAUUUAGGAUCUUGCGCCGCAAGGUGUGCAGGUUCGACCCCUGUUACCCGCACCA
This 85-nucleotide transfer RNA is filed under the name Clostridium sp. Its description in RNAcentral is "tRNA-Leu". It matches the Rfam family "tRNA". Rfam says of the family: Transfer RNA (tRNA) molecules are approximately 80 nucleotides in length. Their secondary structure includes four short double-helical elements and three loops (D, anti-codon, and T loops). Lineage: Bacteria; Bacillati; Bacillota; Clostridia; Eubacteriales; Clostridiaceae. RNAcentral also lists the same sequence under 3 other names. The record is from RNAcentral.